CUGGGAUAAUGGCAAUGUUUUUCAUCAUCAGCAAUUUACGUAGUGAAUGUUGGUAACUUCAGUUCUGAGUAA
Small nucleolar RNA from Nycticebus coucang (slow loris), 72 nucleotides. RefSeq annotates it as small nucleolar RNA SNORD56. Lineage: Eukaryota; Metazoa; Chordata; Mammalia; Primates; Lorisidae. The transcript has a single exon. The record is from RefSeq and is a predicted model, not a curated record.